Oncorhynchus keta (chum salmon) is the source of this 656-nucleotide long non-coding RNA. RefSeq lists it as uncharacterized. The record is from RefSeq and is a predicted model, not a curated record. Lineage: Eukaryota; Metazoa; Chordata; Actinopteri; Salmoniformes; Salmonidae. The transcript has 2 exons.
GGAGAUUACUUCAAAAUUGGCCACAAGGGGCAACGGUGAGCACUAUUACCAUGAAUUAGUCAUGUGUUCAAUCCCAGUGCCAGGCACUUUAAAUGACUUAACCCUAUCCCAAACCUUACCCAUUUGUGAAUUAAUGCCUAAACCGUAAAGGUAUAUGGACAAAUGUUCCAUUCUGCAGUGAGACAGCUUGUUGCCAAGCCAUGGGCUUGUCCAGUGAGCAGAGUGUAGGCCUACGGUUUGAAGCAGCCAGGAGGAGCGAGCACAAAGAAAAGUGUUUUUGCCCGUGCCACCGAAUCCCACAGCUUAGGUGCCAAAUGGCUACCUUCCAAGAAUUAAUGUGCUCUUUGUAAAACAUUUGCACAUCUAGGCUGCCGAUGUUAGUCUUGGCUUUUGUUCAGUACAGAUGAACCCUCUAGAAGCAGCCCUGUAGGAGCGAGCCCACCACAGGGAUGAGGAGCGUGAAUGCACUGGACUGCAAGGUCACACUGGCUCCUUGAGGAAUGGAGACGUUCGUGGUACUGGCAUUCGUGGUACUGGCGUUCGUGGUACUGGCGUUCGUGGUACUGGCGUUCGUGGUACUGGCGUUCGUGGUACUGGCGUUCGUGGUACUGGCGUUCGUGGUACUGGCGUUCGUGGUACUGGCGUUCGUGGUACUG